This 1561-nucleotide long non-coding RNA is filed under the name Homo sapiens (human). RNAcentral describes it as "HSALNT0089112". Lineage: Eukaryota; Metazoa; Chordata; Mammalia; Primates; Hominidae. The record is from RNAcentral.
GUUACCUCACAGGAUUUUGAGAAAUGGUUUUCUCUUGAUUACUUCUUUUCCACUCACAAUGUUACACACCUGUCAAGCAUGUGGCAACAAUGUUUGUUCAAAUCUCUCUGGAGUUAGAAUAAAAUUAUGUGCAAGUUUCUACUGAAAAAGAAUUAUUCAAGAAAUGAAUGUUUAAAAAAGCAGUUGUGAUUGAUCCAUUUCCAAAGUAUUCACACUGAUGCUGAUAUGAUUUGAAUUUGUAUCCCCGCCCAAAUCUCACGUUGAAUUGGAGGAGGGGCUUGGUGGGAGGUGGUUGGAUUAUGGGGGUAGAUUUCUCCCUUGCUGUUCUUGUAAUAGUGAGUGAGUUAUCAAGAGAUCUGAGGGUUUAAAAGUGUGUGGAACUUCCCCUUUUCUCUCUCUUUCUCUCCUGUGACCAUGUGAAGAAGCUGCUUGCCUCCGCUUCACCUUCCACCAUGAUUGGCCUGAAAUAACUCGGUGACUAAGGAAUUUCAUUGAGAAAAAAGACAAAAACAAAACAAAUACUUUGUCUUUUGGAAUAAAUGAAUCCUUACAGAAGAGUGGUAAAAUGAACACGAGUUUGGAUCUGUGGAGCCAUUAUUAAGUAAUGAAGACUGAAUUCACCUUCUUUGGGCUGAAGCGAAAUAGAGAUGAAAAUCCCUUCAAUAAUAGAUAUCUACCCACUCCAUGGCCUCUACACCCGCUACUACCCACAUCUGCUGCACAUGAUGGAAACAUUGUUAUUCAUUUGGUUAAUCAUCAAACUCCCAUUGAACACAUACUCCAUUAUGCACUGAAUUAUUACAUUCUGUAAUUCCAAGUAGAAGAGAAUCUAAGAGCUUGUAUUCACAAAUAACUUGUCUGAAGAAAUAACAUCAAAAGAAUAUGGCAUCUCAAAUGAUUAUGAAAAUCACCCUUCAUAGAAGAUGGCGGAUUAUGUUUGUUGCAUUGUUUCUGUAAUGGGACUGAUAGUUUGUGCUGAAUAAUUCAUGCUAUUUGCCCAAGCCCCUUGAAAGUGCUGGCAUAUCUCUGAGGGACAGCUGGCUGAGAUUAUGGGACAUACUAUUGCCACAGACUUGAAUAUUGCCAAAUGGCCUCUUGGAGAUUUUUUUUGGUAGUGCAGUGUUUGCAAUGCUGUCUGUGGAAUUAUGCAGACCUGGGUUCAAAUUCUAACUCUACCCUUUGACUUGGACAAGGGAUUUAACCUCUUUUAGUCUCAAUUUCCUUGUAUGUAAAAUGAAAGUAGUAAUCCAUCCUUAUUGGGAUUUAUACAUAUAAUGUUAUAGGAACAGAAAUUUCAUUGUUUUAAUGAAAACUCCUUUUUCAAGGAGGUUGGGUCUGGUUAAAGGGAAUGUCCCUUUCCUAUUUAGUGCCUUGGGUUUGGUUGUGAAAACCUAGUAAGAGGAGUUGAGGGGUAGGUGGGUACUGGGAGAGCUCCAUUCUUUUUAGAAGAAGAAGAAUGGGGUGAGGAGAAGAGAAGGGAGGAGAGAGGCAAGAGGAGUCAGCCAAAAGGAGUGAAGCAGGAGGGCGAUGAGGCCAACAAAUUGGCAAGGUGGUGGUUGUG